RNAcentral lists this long non-coding RNA (1538 nucleotides) under Homo sapiens (human). RNAcentral describes it as "HSALNT0208920". The record is from RNAcentral. Lineage: Eukaryota; Metazoa; Chordata; Mammalia; Primates; Hominidae.
CACUUAUUUUCCAGAUUAAGAAAAAACUGGAAAGAUGAAGUAACUUGCCUAAGGAUCCAUAGGAAAAGAGUGCUAGAGCCAGAGUCGGGAAAACAGUUCUCGUGUCUACACUUCACCAGCUUUUAAGAAGUAAACGUGUUCCAGCUGUGAACAAUGACGAUAUUCAUCUUUUUAAGUCAAAACCCACUGGGUAAUAUUUAUUACCCUUUAAGUCAGUUUCAGUUUGCAUUGCCCCUGAUGGUCUUCUCCUUGGACACUAGGAAAUCCUCAACUUGAACAAUAUUCUAAGUGCCCUAAAGCAAUUAAAACAAAACUUUGGAGGAGUGGGGCGGGGAGACAUUCCUGGAGGGCCAGAGCGGGGAUCGCAGCAGAAUCUGCAGCACUGGUGUUAAGGAGAAUUUGAGCGCUCGAAUGCUGUUGUUAAAUUUCUUCCCAGAGCCCCAUGCUCCCUCGUUUAGCAUCUCCCUUCCCCAAUAAUUACUUGAGAGGAUGAGCUCGAGAUUGAAGAGUGAGGUUGGCUUUUCUGUGUGAGGAGCCGAUAGGAUCCACCAACACUAAAAUCAAAAAGACUCCUGGUGCUUGCGAGUACAACCCCAAAUUCUCUCGCACACUGCCCAAGUUUCUUGAAACUCGGAGGCUCAGCUCAGUGUAAAAACAUGGGGGUUCUCCUGAGUCGGUUUCCCUGACCACAGGGGGACCCCUGCAAACACGGCCUCCUCUUUAAUACCUUUGUAACUCAGUUCUUCAAGCAACCCACCUAGGAGAAUAAAAGGACCCACUGAGCUCCAAUAACUGAGUAGAUGAUUAAAUAAAGCCGAGAUCUCAGAUCUUCGCGUUUGGGGUGGGGAGUGGGGGCGCUGGGGAAAAGUCGGGAAUAGCCCCGCGGUACCUGGGGAUCCCAGUUGUUUUUUCUAAGAAAGCCCGGGGUUAAAAAAUGCAUUGGAAUGUGGCGAUGCCUCCAUCAGCCGUCACUUUAUAAGUUCCCAAGUCACGCUGCUCUAGACCAUUGUGGAUGAAAGUGGAUUGUCUCUCCAGAACCAAAUAUUCCCUGACCUGCUUCCCCAACGCGCCCUCACGCUUUCCUGGGAGAGCACAGCGCUGCCGGAGACGCGGCGCUUCUGUCAAUUGUGCAGAGCAAUUACUAAGAAAAUAUUGUGACGAUGUUGUAGGGCGAAAGGGGACGUGAGGAGGAAAGGGAGGGGGAGUUAGUUUGGAGAGCAAUUUGCAAAGGAAUAUUAACUUUGAUUCCCGAGGUCACCGCGGGAAAAGGGGUUCUGGGCUGCAGAGCUCUUCCUCUAGGUGGCGGACUUUGGCACCAAACAACCGCUAGAUGAGCGCUGACUUCAAACACAGGAUUAAGCUUCUUGCUGGUUAAAAAUAAUAACAGUAAUAAUAUAGAGGUGUGGGGCUGUUUUUUCCCCCUUUUGGAUAUUUAUUUAUUGCAGGGAAAAGUCAUUGAUUUUCCUAAGCAAACUGUGUUUCUCCUUCACUUGGUGGAAAAUAAAAACUGUUUGAAUAAAUAAGUUAUUUCUGAACAU